CAGCACCUCAAGUGGUCAGGAUGAUUAUUGGGCCUAAAGCAUCCGUAGCCGGCGCUGUAAGUUUUCGGUUAAAUCUGUACGCUCAACGUACAGGCUGCCGGGAAUACUGCAGCGCUAGGGAGUGGGAGAGGUAGACGGUACUCGGUAGGAAGGGGUAAAAUCCUUUGAUCUAUUGAUGACCACCUGUGGCGAAGGCGGUCUACCAGAACACGUCCGACGGUGAGGGAUGAAAGCUGGGGAGCAAACCGGAUUAGAGACCCGAGUAGUCC
This 269-nucleotide ribosomal RNA is filed under the name uncultured archaeon. Its description in RNAcentral is "partial 16S ribosomal RNA". It matches the Rfam family "Archaeal small subunit ribosomal RNA", at positions 477 to 747 of the family's 1478-position model. The record is from RNAcentral.